Molecule: ribosomal RNA, 429 nt
Filed under: bacterium
Lineage: Bacteria
Description: partial 16S ribosomal RNA
Rfam family: Bacterial small subunit ribosomal RNA
Source: RNAcentral
UAGGGAAUCUUCGGCAAUGGGGGCAACCCUGACCGAGCAACGCCGCGUGAGUGAAGAAGGUUUUCGGAUCGUAAAGCUCUGUUGUAAGAGAAGAACGUGUGUGAGAGUGGAAAGUUCACACAGUGACGGUAACUUACCAGAAAGGGACGGCUAACUACGUGCCAGCAGCCGCGGUAAUACGUAGGUCCCGAGCGUUGUCCGGAAUUAUUGGGCGUAAAUCGAGCGCAGGCGGUUUAAUAAGUCUGAAGUUAAAGGCAGUGGCUUAACCAGUGUUACCUUUGGAAACUGUUAAACGUAAGUGCAGAAGGGGUGAGUGGAAUUCCAUGUGUAGCGGUGAUAUGCGUAGAUAUAUGGAGGAACACCGGUGGCGAAAUCGGCUCUCUGGUCUGUAACUGACGCUGAGGCUCGAAAGCGUGGGGAGCAAACAGG